UUGGAGGGCAAGUCUGGUGCCAGCAGCCGCGGUAAUUCCAGCUCCAAUAGCGUAUAUUAAAGUUGUUGCAGUUAAAAAGCUCGUAGUUGAAUUUCGGGAUCAGUAGGUUGGUCAUACCUAUGGUAUGUACUGGCUUUACUGAUUCCUCCUUCUUGAUGAUCUGUAAUGUCAUUAAUUUGGUGUUGCAGGGAGUCAGAACUGUUACUUUGAAAAAAUUAGAGUGUUUAAAGCAGGCAUACGCUUGAAUACAUUAGCAUGGAAUAAUGAAAUAGGACGUUCGAUCCUAUUUUGUUGGUUUCUAGGAUUGACGUAAUGAUUAAUAGGGAUAGUUGGGGGCAUUAGUAUUCAAUUGUCAGAGGUGAAAUUCUUGGAUUUAUUGAAGACUAACUACUGCGAAAGCAUUUGCCAAGGAUGUUUUCAUUAAUCAAGAACGAAAGUUAGGGGAUCGAAGACGAUCAGAUACCGUCGUAGUCUUAACCAUAAACUAUGCCGACUAGGGAUCGGAUGAUGUUAUUUUUAAUGACUCAUUCGGCGCCUUACGGGAAAC
RNAcentral lists this ribosomal RNA (547 nucleotides) under uncultured Glomus. Its description in RNAcentral is "SSU rRNA". It matches the Rfam family "Eukaryotic small subunit ribosomal RNA", at positions 548 to 1098 of the family's 1831-position model. The record is from RNAcentral. Lineage: Eukaryota; Fungi; Glomeromycota; Glomeromycetes; Glomerales; Glomeraceae.